UAGGGAAUCUCCCACAAUGGGCGCAAGCCUGAUGGAGCAACACCGCGUGAGUGAAGAAGGGUUUCGGCUCGUAAAGCUCUGUUGUUAAAGAAGAACACGUAUGAGAGUAACUGUUCAUACGUUGACGGUAUUUAACCAGAAAGUCACGGCUAACUACGUGUCAG
RNAcentral lists this ribosomal RNA (164 nucleotides) under uncultured bacterium. RNAcentral describes it as "partial 16S rRNA". It matches the Rfam family "Bacterial small subunit ribosomal RNA", at positions 355 to 511 of the family's 1533-position model. The record is from RNAcentral.